GGGACCUCCACCAGGCCUCAUUCCAGGCAUGAGUUGCUGUUGAUAACCAAAGCCGGGCUGGGAGGAAAUAAUAGUAGGUGGAGCUUGGCCAUAGAAUAUCUGUUGUCCAAUACCUGGACCACCUGGAGGAUACAUUGGCAUGCCACGAGGAGCAACUGAAGAUGCCAUUGCCAUUGGCUGCAUUUGGGAAAAUUGUGCCUGCAACCUAGCUCUUCUAUCUUCCUUCCUCUGUGCAAGUGCAACAUAAAGAGGCUUGCUCACAAUCAUUCUUCCAUUCAUCUCUGCAAGAGCUCUGCCAGCCUCUUCUGGAGUUGAGAAUGCAACAAAGCCAGAUCCUCUACUGAUUCCAUUGGGGUCACGCAUAACCUUGCAUGAGGUAAUGGUUCCAAACCCAGUGAAUAACUCCUUCAGCUUUUC
RNAcentral lists this unclassified non-coding RNA (417 nucleotides) under Hevea brasiliensis (rubber tree). The record is from RNAcentral. Lineage: Eukaryota; Viridiplantae; Streptophyta; Magnoliopsida; Malpighiales; Euphorbiaceae.